AUGGCUGCCGAGGACAAGAGCCUGGACGCGUGGCCUCUGGGGCUGGGGCUCAAGAGCCCCCCAUAUGUGAGUUGGGGGCGGGGGGCAGGUGGCCAGGCUCUUGCCCCAGCCCUGGAGCUGGGAGCUCUGCUCCUGCCCGGGUCCAGGGACCCACCUAGUGCCUGUCACAGCUGGAGGGGGCAAUGCCAGCAGGGCAGCUGGAGCCCCCUGGGCCAGCGCCUACCUUGGCUUCACUCCCUGCCUCAGUUUCCCCAUCCAGCAUCCCCUGCCUGCCCCUCACUGGCUCCCCCUCUCCCCCAGACCUUGCCCUUGGGCCUGGAGACGCCUGUACCCUCCAGCCGCAAGCUGGCGAUUCUGACUGUGGGAGCUGUCUCGGCCCUGGCCAUCAGCCUUGUGGGUGUCCUUGUGGGCACCUACCUGGGCAGAGCUGCCUGCAGCCAGGGAGUCGCUGCUGGCUCCCUGCCGGCCCAGGUACACGUGCAGAAUGAGGCGGCGCUGCUGCUGGCGCUGAGCGAGCUGGGCGAGCAGGGCACCGUGCCCGGCAUCACCUGCGACCUGAGGAACCACUUGAUGCUGUACCACGGGCAGCCUGAGGGCUGCGUGGGCCAGAAGAUGGACCCUGUGGAGCAGCUGCCACCCUGCAGGGAGCUGGAGAGCUACUUCCAGGCUGUGCUGAGCAACGUCACACUGGGACUAGGACUGGAGCUGGGCAUGGAUGUGCAGAGUGUGGGCGCAGGGGCCCUGGGCAGCCUGGCCAUGCUGCUCUGCAGCAACAAGCCCACGUACCUGGUGGCGGCUGGCCCACUGUCUCCCCAGUACCAUGGGCACCCGGCGGACUAGCACGUGCAGGGGGGGACCAGGCCGCAGCUGCCUGGAGUUGUUGGAUCCAUUCCAGCCACAUCCACGACUACUGACCCCCGCGCAUCUUUGCAAGGGCCUGGCCCCAACUGCAGGGUCUGAGGCCACACAAGGUUUUGCAUUGCUUCUCUGCAGAGUGUAAUCCUAGCAAUAAACAUAGAGCUGCA
RNAcentral lists this long non-coding RNA (1025 nucleotides) under Crocodylus porosus (Australian saltwater crocodile). RNAcentral's name for it is "lncRNA (ENSCPRG00005008061.1)". The record is from RNAcentral. Lineage: Eukaryota; Metazoa; Chordata; Crocodylia; Crocodylidae.